AUUGAACGCUGGCGGCAGGCCUAACACAUGCAAGUCGAGCGGUAGAGAGAAGCUUGCUUCUCUUGAGAGCGGCGGACGGGUGAGUAAUGCCUAGGAAUCUGCCUGGUAGUGGGGGAUAACGUUCGGAAACGGACGCUAAUACCGCAUACGUCCUACGGGAGAAAGCAGGGGACCUUCGGGCCUUGCGCUAUCAGAUGAGCCUAGGUCGGAUUAGCUAGUUGGUGGGGUAAUGGCUCACCGAGGCGACGAUCCGUAACUGGUCUGAGAGGAUGAUCAGUCACACUGGAACUGAGACACGGUCCAGACUCCUACGGGAGGCAGCAGUGGGGAAUAUUGGACAAUGGGCGAAAGCCUGAUCCAGCCAUGCCGCGUGUGUGAAGAAGGUCUUCGGAUUGUAAAGCACUUUAAGUUGGGAGGAAGGGCAGUUGCCUAAUACGUAACUGUUUUGACGUUACCGACAGAAUAAGCACCGGCUAACUCUGUG
Molecule: ribosomal RNA, 484 nt
Filed under: uncultured bacterium
Lineage: Bacteria
Description: partial 16S ribosomal RNA
Rfam family: Bacterial small subunit ribosomal RNA
Source: RNAcentral